AAAAGGUGGCUAUACUACCGCUUUUGGAUGGGCCCGCGACGCAUUAGCUAGUUGGUAGGGUAAAGGCUUACCAAGGCAAUGAUGCGUAGCCGAAUUGAGAGGUUGAUCGGCCACAUUGGGACUGAGACACGGCCCAAACUCCUACGGGAGGCAGCAGUAGGGAAUCUUCCACAAUGGGCGAAAGCCUGAUGGAGCAACGCCGCGUGGGUGAAGAAGGUCUUCGGAUCGUAAAACCCUGUUGUUAGAGAAGAAAGUGCGUGAGAGUAACUGUUCACGUUUCGACGGUAUCUAACCAGAAAGCCACGGCUAACUACGUGCCAGCAGCCGCGGUAAUACGUAGGUGGCAAGCGUUAUCCGGAUUUAUUGGGCGUAAAGGGAACGCAGGCGGUCUUUUAAGUCUGAUGUGAAAGCCUUCGGCUUAACCGGAGUAGUGCAUUGGAAACUGGGAGACUUGAGUGCAGAAGAGGAGAGUGGAACUCCAUGUGUAGCGGUGAAAUGCGUAGAUAUAUGGAAGAACACCAGUGGCGAAAGCGGCUCUCUGGUCUGUAACUGACGCUGAGGUUCGAAAGCGUGGGUAGCAAACAGGAUUAGAUACCCUGGUAGUCCACGCCGUAAACGAUGAAUGCUAAGUGUUGGAGGGUUUCCGCCCUUCA
RNAcentral lists this ribosomal RNA (653 nucleotides) under uncultured bacterium. RNAcentral describes it as "bacterial SSU rRNA". It matches the Rfam family "Bacterial small subunit ribosomal RNA", at positions 202 to 842 of the family's 1533-position model. The record is from RNAcentral.